This 253-nucleotide ribosomal RNA is filed under the name uncultured bacterium. RNAcentral's name for it is "partial 16S ribosomal RNA". It matches the Rfam family "Bacterial small subunit ribosomal RNA", at positions 524 to 776 of the family's 1533-position model. The record is from RNAcentral.
UACGGAGGGUGCGAGCGUUGUCCGGAAUCACUGGGCUUAAAGCGUGUGUAGGCGGGCCGUCAAGUGCCUCGUGAAAUCCCGCCGCUCAACGGCGGAACCGCCGGGCAGACUGACGGCCUUGAGGGACCCAGGGGCGAGCGGAACAGGCGGUGGAGCGGUGAAAUGCGUAGAUAUCGCCUGGAACGCCGACGGUGAAAACAGCUCGCUGGGGGUUUUCUGACGCUGAGACACGAAAGCCAGGGGAGCGAACGGG